This 526-nucleotide ribosomal RNA is filed under the name uncultured Clostridium sp. RNAcentral describes it as "bacterial SSU rRNA". It matches the Rfam family "Bacterial small subunit ribosomal RNA", at positions 8 to 551 of the family's 1533-position model. The record is from RNAcentral. Lineage: Bacteria; Bacillati; Bacillota; Clostridia; Eubacteriales; Clostridiaceae.
AGAGUUUGAUCCUGGCUCAGGACGAACGCUGGCGGCGUGCUUAACACAUGCAAGUCGAGCGAUGAAGCUCCUUCGGGAGUGGAUUAGCGGCGGACGGGUGAGUAACACGUGGGUAACCUGCCUCAUAGAGGGGAAUAGCCUUUCGAAAGGAAGAUUAAUACCGCAUAAGAUUGUAGUACCGCAUGGUACAGCAAUUAAAGGAGUAAUCCGCUAUGAGAUGGACCCGCGUCGCAUUAGCUAGUUGGUGAGGUAACGGCUCACCAAGGCGACGAUGCGUAGCCGACCUGAGAGGGUGAUCGGCCACAUUGGGACUGAGACACGGCCCAGACUCCUACGGGAGGCAGCAGUGGGGAAUAUUGCACAAUGGGGGAAACCCUGAUGCAGCAACGCCGCGUGAGUGAUGACGGUCUUCGGAUUGUAAAGCUCUGUCUUUAAGGACGAUAAUGACGGUACCUAAGGAGGAAGCCACGGCUAACUACGUGCCAGCAGCCGCGGUAAUACGUAGGUGGCAAGCGUUGUCCCGAUU